This 22260-nucleotide long non-coding RNA is filed under the name Olea europaea (common olive). RNAcentral's name for it is "long non-coding RNA (OEUR_LNC006773)". Lineage: Eukaryota; Viridiplantae; Streptophyta; Magnoliopsida; Lamiales; Oleaceae. The record is from RNAcentral.
GACAUUGUAUACAAUAAGAUCUACACUUGGCAAGUUUUGAACGUGUUUUUCUCCGUUCAGAAUGUUUGUCCUUCCAGUUGAGUUAUUUAUCUCUGUUUUGUGUGAUAUGAUUUUCUUCUUUCUGAAGAGGCAUUUUCGAUUUAUGUUGUUUUUGUAAUUUUUGGUCUUUUAUUUCAUUUUAUUGUUUUUGGUUUCAUUAUUUUAAAAUUUAGUUUUUGUUUUUCAAUUUUUUGUAACGAAAAUAUUCUUGUUUUAUGCUUUUAAUUGAUCUUUUUUAAUAAGUUUAUGCACGCGUGUUUACUAAAGAUAAUUUGGAUUUUAUAUAUGACAAAACAUGAAUCAGUCGAGUGGAGUUUGAGCGCUUUAUGUUUCUAUCCUCUUUGAGAAAUUGUAGAUGUUGAAGAUUACAGCUCUGUUCAGGGUGUUGGACGUGGGUCCAAUAAUGUAGAAAUGACUCAGCAGCUGAACAACGAAGAUUUUAAUGGCUCAUUUGUUCCGUCUAGAGAAAAACCACAGAAAAGGCGCACAAAAUUGUUUGUUGCAUGACAUGAAGUGUAGCCAUGUUACGAAAUGUGGAUGAGAAAAUGUAAACGUGUCGCAGUGAUUCUGGGGGAGACAUGACAUGUUAUCUUAGCCUAUGUUCAGAUUGUAUGUUAUUUGGUGUUAGUUGUUAUGAAAGCUGAAUUCCUGUUUUUCAACGUGCACUUUCACUCCUUUUCCUAAAUUAGAAAAAUAUAUGGAUUGCAACGAUGAUAUAAGUAAUUGCUAAUCUAUCAUUUCUCCUUUUUUUUUUUCGUUACUAUUACUGUAUCUUAUAUUUUUUUACUGAAUUUCAUUCAAGUCCACAUAUACACGUAAUUAUUGACUCAUAAACUAACGUUUUUACACAUAAUAUCUAUGCAGGUGUACUUAAAGUUGCUACUGGCAUUGUCCAAGACGACUCAUUCAAACACGAUCUGAUAACCAAACAUAUGUACAAGAGAUUUUACUAAUCAAUUAAAGUUUCAAUACAAUCAUCUUAAAAAAUGUGAUAUGGUUAUGUCGAAAAAGAUUGUGUUCUCAUUGCAGACAACAUCGCCAAAAAGUCUAUAAUUUUAGCAAACCAAUUAAAAGUUUUUGUCAUUUAACCGUGACAUUUUAUAUACCCUACCAUACAACUUAUUACUAUCCAUAUAAGCCAUGUAAAUAUAUACAAGCAACAAUUAAUAUUUAAUCUUUAAUGCAAGCCUUACACUAUCAACCAAGAUCAAUAGCACCUUCUUUUAUGGAUGUUGCAUUCAACCAAUUUACAGAGUUCAGAGCAUGGUAAGUAUAAGAUACCUAUCCAAUAUAGAAAAUCUUUUAUUGCAGUUUGUGCCAACAAUUUAUCAUCACCUUUCAUAUAAAACUCUAAUAUUGUUUUCUUCGUCCUAAUUCAUUGAUGUACAAGCCUUUGUUUCUUUCGCCUAGUAGUUAACUUUUUAAUUAUCUAAUCAUGUAAUUCAAGGAUCGAAACACUUAAUGAAAGACUGAAUGAAAUUGCACUGGAGAAACAAUAUCAUACAGUCACUCCAACUAAGUCAUCUCCUCCAAUCCAAAAAAAUUUAUACAAAUACAAAAUCUCAAAGACUGACUACUAGGGGCAACUUAUGUGUCUUAUAGUGCAAAUACUGUAUAUUUCUCCUAUCUUAUAUGAAUACAUUGCCUGUUAUUUCUUUAUCUUAACAUUGGAUUUUAGCAUAGCGUAGAUACUACCGGAUCAAAACUAAACCAACCAUCAAAGCAACAAAGCAAACUUCCUAGUACAUUUCUUGUGAUAAUUGCAAUAAAGUCACUCAUGCUGAUUUUGGUGAAACUUUUUCAUGUAUUUACUGCAAACAUCCUUCUGCAAAAGGCUGGACGUGGGUAACACUUAUUACAUUUCAUUCCAAUAUGUAACACUUAUACAAAUAACUAUUAACACUAUUCAUAUUUUCUUGCAUUUAAAUCUUACUUUUUUAAAGAACUCAAUCUCCAUUCCCAUAGGGCAAAUGCCGAUAUAUAAUUAGAGUAUGCAAGUGGAAUCUUAAAUGAAAGUGUAACAGGCGACCUUGCGGAGACACUGGUGAAGUAUAAUGAUGAGAGUUUGAUGACAUGUUCUAAAUCAGUAAGUACAAAUAUCAUGCCCCUCCAAUAACACUUUUAAUCCCAUGUGCAUUUAUAAUAACAUUUUUCCAUCCUUAUUUUCAAUUGGAAGUUGAUCAAAUCAUUGCUACAAAUCAAUCAAAUAGACUCUCGAGAAGAACACAUUUUUUACUUCAAAAUCAUACAACUGGAGAAAAACACUACUAAUACAGUAGAACAAGUGAUUGAGAAAGAAAAAGUUCCCUAUGCCUUGCUGCAGUAAACGAGAAUUCUUAGAUCCGGGAAGUGUCACUACCAUCUGCAAAAUGAGUGUUGUUCAGAACUUCAAGUGAGCCAGUACCUUCUAACAUACUAGUUGAAAAGAACAUUGCUAGCCCCAGCUCUCAAACUCAUCAAGUCACAACAAAAGGAAAGCUCGAGUAAUCAUCAUCAUAUGUGUUUGCAGACAACAUCAAUGCUACAACAAAAAAAAUUUGAUUUACCCAUUUUUCCAUCUCCAUCUAAAUAAUGAAACUGCAACCACCAACGAACGGCUUUGUUUUUUUUGUAUAAUUGAUUUCUAUGAAAACUACUUCCAUGAAGUUUAACCUUGGCAGAAAUGUACAAUAUGAACUAUCUUGAACCAAUAUAAUGAAUCAAUUCAAAGAGAAGAAAAAAGAAGAGAAGAAGAAUAGAGAGAGAAAAUAAUAAUCUAUUAAGCCACAAAAAUUAGGGUUUACAAUGAAUCAAAUAGUUUUUAUAUUACAAAGAAACCUAAAAUAAUAAGGAAACUAUGGUCUUGUUUGAGCCACAUUUUUUCAAUAAAAUACAUUCUUAAACAGUGAUUUGACAUCAUUUCAACUACACAUUCUUCAAUAAAAUAAUAUUACACGCAAAUUCAAAACUUUAUUUUUUAACCACAUAUUUCUCAUCAAUACACUAUAUAUAUAUAUAUAUAUAUAUAUAUAUAUAUAUAUAUAUAUAUAUAUAUAUAUAUAUAUAUAUAUAUAUAUAUAUAUAUAUAUAUAUAUAUAUAUAUAUUAUCAUCCUCCCUCAAACAAUGCUAAAGCAAGAAGCAAAAAAUUUUGUCAUACAAGAAGUGAAAAUGAUAUAUCGGAUGAGAAUUAGUCAAGAAAUUAGCAAGCUAUAAUGAUGAAGAAACAAAAGGUAGGAAAAUGGUGCUAGUCUGCUGAUGAUGACGAAUCAGAUGACAAUCAAUCUAAAUAUGCUUUGUGCAUUCAUAGAACACAGAAUUGUGAGAGAUCUGGAUAGCAUUAAUACUAUCAUAAGACAAAGGGGUUGGGAAAGAAUGAGGAACACCCAUGUUUGCAAGUAACCAUCGCAAUCACAAAAUCUUAGUGGUAGUAGAUGCCAUAGCUAGAUACUCUGCUCAGUAGAGGAACGAAAAACAAUAUUCUUCUUCUUACUUUUUCAAGAGAUAAGAAAAUUACACAAAAUAUUCAAAAACCAGUAGUAGAUUUGCAAGUAGUGGGGUCACUAGCCCAAUCAGCAUCAAAGUAGGCAUGUAGCACUAAUGAUGAGGUCGAUGGAAACAAAAGACCCUGAAAGCAUGUACCACAAAGAUAACACAAAAUACGAACAAUUGCUGCCCAAUGAACUGCAGUAGGAGCUGAAACAAAUGGACUAACAAUGUGAACAACAUAAGCAAUAUUGAGACGUGUGAUAGUAAGAUAAACUAGACGUCCCAACAAUAGUGCGAUACAAGGUGGGAUUAGUCAAGGGUCCAUCACUAGAAGAAAAAUAUCGAGUAUUGGACUCAAGAGGAGUAUCAAUAGUUUUAGUAUUACUAAGAUGGACACCUUCGAUAACUUCCGUAGUAUACUUAGACUGAGAGAGAAGAUAACCUCUAAAAGAAGAAGCAACUUCGAUCUCCAAAAAAUAAGAUAAUGUACCUAAGUCCUUCAUUUCAAAACGACGAGCCAAUUCUGAUUUCAAACCUGCAAUUUCAUCAAUUUUAUAACCAGUAAUAAUCAUAUCAUCAACAUAAAGUAAUAAUAGAAUGCCACCAGUUGAAGUGCAUUUAAAGAAUAUAGCAGAGUCAUGAUGAUUGGAUGUAAAAUCAAGAGAGGUAACAAUAGCGAAAAAAUUUCAAACCAAGCACGAGGUACUUGUUUGAUGCCAUAAGGUAUCUUUUUGAAGUUGCAAACAAAUCCAGAAGAUUGAGAAAGACUAGGAGGAGGAACGAUAUAAACCUCCUUUUGAAAAUUGUAUUUAAAAAGAUAUUUUUAACAUCCAAUUGAGAGAGACUCCACUGAUGAAUAGAUGCAACUGCAAUGAGUGUACAAUGAGUGGUCAUCUUGGUAUAGGAGCAAAAGUCUCCUUAUAAUCUAAACCAUAGUGUUGAUUAAAACCUUUAGGAACCAAUCUAGUCUUAUAACGCUCAACUGAACAGUCAGAUUUGGUUUUAAUCUUAUAAACCCAACAACAACCAAUAGCAUGUUUACCUAAAGGGAAUGCAACCAACUCUUAAGUGUCUGUCUUAGUCUAUACAAAUGAGGUCAGUUUUAGUCAUAUCAUGAUUAUUAUUAGAAAUAGAGAAGAAUGGAAUGUGCUCAAGAAGCACGACAUGAUGAGAAACAUAUAAUUUAUUAUUAAUGGGAUUGAAAACAACGAUAAUCCUUUUGUCCUUACCCAUAACACAAGAAAACACAGAUAGCAGAGCAAAAUGUCAACUUUGUACGUUCAACUUCAGGACGAAGAACAUAGUAAGUACAACCAAAGACUCUUAAUGAGGAGUGAUUCGAUGGAUGCCCAUACAAUGUUUCAAAGGAUGAUAAACUUGAAUUGUGGAAAGAUAGAAUCUUAUUAAUUAAAGAAACAAUAGUAAGAGCUGCUUCUUCUCAAAAUUCACAAGGAACUUUGGCUGACAAAAUAUGUGAACGAGUAGUUAUUGUAAUAUAACUAUGCUUUCAUUCAGCAACACCAUUUUGUUGUGGGUUAUUAGUACACGAUGUUUGAUGAAUUGUGCCGUCAAGAGCAAGCAUUUAAGAGAAAUCAGUUGAAGUAUACUCUCCACCUAAGUCACAUCUAAAACACAUAAUUACAGUAGAAUGUUGAGUUUUAAUAAGUACUCUAAAUGACCAAUAAAUAGAAAAAAAUUCAGAUCAUCGUUUCACAAGAUAAACCCAACAAUAACGAUUAUAAUUAUCAAUAAAGGACACUUAAUAUUGAGACACCCCUUUUCUAGCAAUAGGAGCAGAUCCCCAUACAUCAGAGUAAACAAGACCAAAUGGUGCAACAAAAUGAGAAAUACUUUGAGGAAAAGGCAAAACAUAUAAUUUUGCUAAUUUGCAGCCACUACAAUCAGAAAAUGUCAUGAGUUUGUAUAUUUACCAAUUGGCCCUUAGAAAAUAAAAAUUUUAAACGACUAGCUUGAAAAAUGUCUAAGGUGAGAAUGCUACAAAUAAAAACUAGAAAAUGAUGAAUUCAAAGGGAAACAUGACAAAUCAACACUAGAGGCUGCAAUGUGUGGUGGUUUAGGUUGUCCUGAACAUAUAACCCUCAUUGUCUACAGACUAUCCCAAUCAUCUUUUGAGAUUACGGAUCCUGCACGUGACAAAUAGUAGAAAAAACUAAAAUAAGUAUCCAGAAUCGCACAAUUGGCUAAUAGAGAUAAGAUUCAAAGUAAAAGUUUUGAACACAAUAGACAUCUAAAAGUGAUAAAUUAUAUGUAUUAGCAGAACCAACACAUGUUAAAGGUAAUAGUGUGCCAUCAGCAGUCAUAAUAGACAAAUACGUUAGAAAGACGCAAUCAUUAAAGAAUUUUGAGUUCGACGACAUGUGUUUGGAAGCACCUAAGUCAAAGAUCCAUAAAGAAGAAAUACCUGAAUAACCCUGAGAUGACAAACCUAUAUGAGUGGAGAUUGACAUAGCAUGUGACUGUGUGACUAAGAACUUCUGAAACUGCACUGCUAAGUCCGUCAACAUAGGAUUGGAGAAAGGUGGUGCUCCAAGUAUAGUUAAGUCACCUUUAUUCUGAUUCUAUGUGGACAGUGGAGAGGGUACAACCAACAUUGAGGUGCUAGAUGGAGGAAGAGAUACUUCUCCUGCAAGAGAUUUCAUAACGUAUUUCCUCAACUACAAGUUCAAUAACCACUGAAUCAACUGAGGGAAUUGGAGUGAGAUGCAAGAUAGGGCCUCUAAGUCCCUUAAAAUCAUUGCGAAGUGCUAUAAAAAACUGAACUAAUCAUUACUCAUCUUUAAAAGUAAUAUAUUCCUCAAGUGCUUUUAGUCCUACUAAUUCCGUAAGAGCCAACUCAUCCCAAAUUGAUUUCAUAGUGAUGUAAAACUUAAGAGUACUCAUAACGAUCUGAUGUAAAGCUCGUAUAUCAAUUUCCAACUAAUACCAUUUUGUAGAGUUAGACUUAGUGUAUAACUUUUGAAAGUGCUUCCAAACUUCCUUUGCUGUCUCAAACUUCACGUUGUUUGACUUCUAAUUAUCUAAAUCUGUUACAUAAUUCCGAGCAGUGUUUUUGGGUUUUACAAUAGUUCGACUAACAUAACCCCACAAUCUUUUUCUCUUUAGAAAAUUUCUCAUCACUAUACUCCAAUAUGAGUAACUUUUACCAUUUAUUUUAGCAUUAAUGGAUUGAAGUGAAUCAUCUCUUUCAGUUGUCAUCAUAAAAUCAAUAAAUGAUCAACUAAAAAUCAAUGAAAUCACCCAAUUUUUAGGGAAACCUAUGAUAACCAAUGGACCACCAAAAACUCCAAUUAAAAUAUAAUGCACAAUAUACGUAUAACAAAAGUAGUACCACCAAAAGUUAUGAAAUUUACCAAGGAACAAACGGCCAUUUGAAUCACCUCAAAAAACUCACACACGUGCCCAAACAACCGUCCAAUGCCAUGUGCCUGACCGGAAGCUUCGUCUCAGUCUGCAGAAUAAAGAUCGGGUCUCAAUUUUCUCAACCGAUCUCUGAUUUAGUCGGAAUCGUGAUUUUUGGUUACGGUCGAUUGGGUUUUUACACAAAUUUUUUUUGCUUGACUUCAGCCUUGAUUUCUAGUCCGUCCCAAUUAGAAAUUUCACAAUUUUCACUCAAUUAUAAGCUUUGAUACCAUGAUAACAAUAUGAACUAUCUUGAACCAAUAUAAUGAAUCAAUACAAGGAGAAGAGGAAGAAUAAAGAGCGAAAAUAAUAAUCUAUUAAGCCACAAAAAUUAGGGUUUACAAUGAACCAAAUAAUAUAUAUUACAAGGAAACCUAAAAUGAUAAGGAAGCUUUAAAAUAAUAAGGAAACUAAAUAUUAUGCUCUAUAUAUAUAUAGCAAUACUUUGCAUAAAAAUUCCUCCAUGAAGUCUAAAUCAACAGGAAUAUAUAAUUCCCUUCAUGAUAUUUUGUAGCUUGUAACUUAAGCUUUUAUUGAUUUAUAAAUUCAGACUUUUUAAAUGUAUAAAUCAUCCUUUGUUUACCCAUUACAGUCUUAUUUCAGACUUUGUCUUAUUAUCCCACGUCUUUCGAUACUAAAAUGAAUAAUUUUGUUUCUAUAUCUAUGCUAUUACUUAGUCAACUACUACAUGUCAACGUGUCCUCUUAAGGCAUUUUUUUAAGGAAUUUAUAAUGUAUAACGAGAAAAGAAUUAAAAUUCCAGAUGUCGCAAUAAUUAAGCUUUACUUUUCAGUAAAAUGGUUAAUUUAUUGAUAUAUUUAUCUAGCUUUAAUAUUUUCCAUUUCCCUUGCUGUAAACACAUCUUAUUUAGGAUUGAGACAAUUUAAGAACAGGAAGUUGAUGAUAAAGAAUAAAAGAAACUUGUGUAUCAAUUUAUUUUUUACAAGAAACAAUUACGAACACAUUCUUUAUGAAUAAAACCGUCAAAAGAGGACUUAAUUAUAGCAUAAUUUGCAAUCCCAAGAGUUCUUAUAGUUUUAAUCUUCAUUAUUUAUUGUCCUAUCAGCAUUUCCUACCAAGGUUCCAUGACUGGAUAUCCGAGUUUACAGAAUACAAGCUUUGUAACAUAAUUAGACCUGCCUCAGUUUAAGCCUUUAUAUAUUAAGCUUUAAGUACCUUGUCGAGAUAUAAUUACAGAAACUUAAAAAGGGGUCACUUCUAAGAGUGAUUUUAUCUUAAAUUUAGAAGAGUUAGAAGACUAUGACCUAAGUUAGACUAUUAAUAUUGUUAUAGAUCUAGUUAUAUUAGAGCAUGUUUUCUAGCAUUUUCUAGAUAUUCUCUAAAUGGGUAAUUGGCGCAAAACGUCCUUACCUUUCAAGGUUAUUGUGGAAACGUCCCUACCUUUCAUUUUUGGGCAUUUUUGCCUUUAUUUCAACCUUUCGUUGCGCUGAAGGUCUUUUUCACUGUUUUAGACCGUAAAAUGACCAAUAUAUCCUCAUAUUUAAAUAAAACAAUAAAGAAAAGAAAAGAAAAAUAAAGAACAAAUUAAAACAAUAUGCCCAAACUUUUUAAAAAGUGCAAAUCAGCCCAAAAAUCUUAUUAAACCAUUAAAAAUGAAAAAAAAAAAAAAUUCUCUCUCUCCUCUCCCCUUCACCUCUGAUGAUGAUUGAAAGCAAAUUAUUUAUGUUAUUCAAAAUAAGGAAAAAAUCAAACAAGUAUUACUGUAAUAUCAUAUGAAAUCAGUGGUAAUUAAUUGUGUCCAACUCCAUAAAUACAUAGCUCUAGCCACAUUCACGAAAGUCUCUAAAAUAUCCGAAUUAUAUCGCGUUUCAGAUUUUUCUAGGAUUUCGUCUCUUCCUCAACAAAGCUACAAGAAUUACUCUGGCUCAUCCCGAUCGGGACAGACUUUCUGCCUAGUAACCGCCCUGCAGACCCAAUUAAUUGCGAUUCCUCACCCAUUGUCAUCCUAGAGUCGCUACCUGGGAUUAAAUUGGCAAGCCCGGAGCCUUGAUUUCACAGAAUCAUUCUCCAAUGAUUCGUUUCCUGAUUUUUGGAACUAGAAUUUCUGAUCCUCGAAUGCUGUACGGUGACCCAAGUACUCCUUUAAUUCUUGCUCAAGAUUAAUAGGUCUGAAAAGGAAACUAAACAUAUUAAAUAUUGAUGUUUCUACCAUUACAAAGUAUGGAAUCAUAGCAUAGACUUGGAUAAUUCCAUUUUGAGAUAGUUGAAAAAACCCCUCUUUUCUAUGCGUGGACUUUCUCAAUGCAUAUUUCCAUAGACAAUGUUAUUUGAUCUUUAUGGAUGAUAAAUAUUUCUUAGCACAUGGAUUGUGAAUUCAAAAAAAAAAAAAAAAAAAAAAAACACACACACACACACACACAUAUAUACACACAUACAAAGCCACAAGAAUUAAUUUUUCCUUGAGCAUUGUUUAAAAUUGCAGAAAACUUAUGGAAUUGUUAUGUGUAUAAAUGAUUUUCAGAUUUUUGUGUUGUUUUUGCUGUUUGUAGGAAUUAUUGGAGUUGGACGUCAAUUGUGAUUUCUGGGGUUUAUUGGUUCAUAAAGUUUGAAAGUAUGGGUUUCUACGGAUUAUAGGAGGUGGAGGGGAGAGGAGAUAGUUUUUUUUUUUUUUAAUGGUUUAAUAAGAUUUUUGGACUGAUUUGCACUUUUAAAAAGUUUGGGCCUAUUGUUGCAAUUUGUUUUUUAUUUUUCUUUUCUUUUCUUUAUUGUUUUAUUUAAAUUGAGGGUAUAUUGGUCAGUUUAUGUUCCAAAACAGUGAAAAGGACUUUCAGCGCAACGAAAGGUUGAAAUACGAGCAAAAAUGCCAAAAAAUGAAAGGUAUGGACUUUUCCAUAAUAACCUCGAAAGAUAGGGACAUUUUACGCCAAUUACCCUUCUCUAAAUACAAGAUGAUUUUUAUUUUAAAAUUUAAAAAUAAACUUUUAGAGUAUUUCCAAGAAACUUUUUAUUUAUGAAGAGCAACUUUUGUAUAAUAUAAAGUGCAUCUAUAAAUUUAGUGGGUAAAUCCUUUUAUAAAAUAUAAUAAUGCUUUCUAUUUUGACACUUCAUUUUAUUUAACACAUUUUUGUAUUCGUCAAUGGCCAAUCAACUCAAAUAGAAUUUGUAUGAUUUAAGAAAUAAGUACUGAAAUCUAUAACUUAUUAAAUGCAAACAUUUUAAAAUAAGAAUUAGUAAGUGAUUUUGACUCUCUAUUUUAACUAAGAAUAGAAAGUCUCUUGAAACUUGUUUUUCACAUUGAUUCUCUAAAAUAGAGAAUAUUUUGUGUUUAGAUUGUAAAGAGCCUUUUAUUUCUUAUUUUCUAAUAAAUCCAUUUAAUAAUUCGCUCUCUCAGUUCUACAAAGAUAAACUUAUUUUUAUUUUCAUACAUAUUAAGAAAGUUUAAUUAAUAUAAUUAAAAAUAUAAAUUUCACUUACAUUUUUCCAAAUUCUAUAUUUAAUAAUAAUUAAAUAUGUUUAAAUAUGAGUAAUUCAUAUUUGUUGAUAACAAAACGCAUUAAAUAUUGACGUAUUAGAAAAUUAAGAAAUCAACUAUACUUUCAACAAGAAAAAUAAUCUAUAAUUUGAGACAAACAAAAAAUGAAAGCAAGUCUAUCUUUAUGGGAUGGAGUGAAUAUUUAAAUUUUGCUUAUUAAAUUAUUCAAAUUAUAUUUGAAUUGAUUAAUCAUUGAUAUAUGAAAAAAAUUGUUAAAUAAAAGAUAAUGAGAAAUUAAUAUAUGUAUUUUUAUUUUUCUAGGGAUGAGAAAUGAAUAUUCAAAAUAAAGAGCAAUACAAUAUAUGAAACGUUAUUCUCUCUAAUUAAAUAUGCUCUCUAUUAUAUACAAGAUACUCAAUAUAAAUACAAAGUCUCUUAAAAACACUUUAUAGACACCAUAAUAAAAUUAAUAAAAUGAUCAAAUUAUAUUUGGAACACAAAAUAUGACUUAUUUCGUAUUUAUUGUUAUUACAAAAGAUGCAUCUGAAGUCAAAGGAAUCUAUGACUUCAAAGUAUUGAAAACAACAUAUCUGAAUAUUAGGAUUCAUUUGUUAAUUGUCCAGAUCUCUACAUGAUAUACAUGAGACAAUUCACCUUGUAUAGGGGAAUUGCUUUUAAGCACCUUAUGAGUGCGGUGCUGGCAGCCCGUGUGGGAUUUUUUUUUUUUUUUAAUUACAAAUGAAAAAUAACCAAGUGGAAUUUUAUAAAAAAUUUGUGAAACUUUACCUGCACAGAUAACAUCACUCAAAUACAGAUGUAUGCAAAAAGUUGAGGUUGGUCACCUAUCCAUAUCAGAUUCUCUCCACUCAAACAGUUAUAAACUCACAAAUUUAAUAUUUUAAAACCUUUCUAGAAGCAGAUUAAUUCUUAAUUUCUUAGCAAAUUAAUCUUCCCAUAAUAUCACACGUGACUGCUGAGAUCAUUGUUUGGUAGACAGGUUUAGGUCAGUUCCGGGUGGGGCGGGGAGAGGGCGGGAGGGGGGGACAUAUUCAGCUUCUUUAUAAUUAAAAAUGAACGGUUGAAAAGACUGUCGGCCAAAAUCAUUGAAUACUGGUGCCUAGCACUAAUGAUGUUACAAUAUCAGUUUAGAUGAGAUGUGCAAUUAAGUGAUCAUUUAAUUGUACCUCUCACUUAAUAUUACAUUAGUGCCACUAAAAUUAGUGUUUUAAUAUUAGUGAUUUUAAAUAGCAUUACUCAAUGAAUAAUGCUUCUUAUACAUAAUGGAGUUACAUAAUAAUUUAUAUACAGAUGGGGUAUCAAAAAAAAAGUGAUGAAGUUUCUUUUUUUUUUUUUUUAAGAAGAAUUUUUGUCCAAUCAUAUUGUUGUCGAUUUUAUAUCCAGCAAGUGUACAAAUCGUAGCAAGUAUUAAAGUGAACCUAAGAGUCUGGGUGAUCGUUCGCACGAGGACUAUAAUUUAAUACUUAAAUUAAUUUUUCUAACUUCUGUUUGACCAAAAAAUAAAUUAUGAUUUGUGAUUGCUAUCUAAAUUAUUUUAAUUAAACUAAGUUAUCUAAUGUGCACAAUUUAUAAAAUUUUGAUUUUAAACAUAUAAAUGUGGAUGCUGUGACUUACAAUUCUCCUAUGAAUCUUCUUUAAUUCGCUAAUCAAAAUUCAUUAUUAUUGUAAUAUUCGAUCAAAUUUUUUAAAGUAUUCAAUUUACCUCUCUUGAGUUCCAAUUAAUUAUAUUUAAUUAAGUCAAUUCUAUAUCUCUAUGCGAAUCUAGACACACCCUAGUUAAACAACUUAAAUCUCUAAGAAUCCAUGUAAUGACUGCACUAACUAAAAAAAUGUAUCUCUCCACUUUUAUACUAGUUCAGUGAUUAUAUUUGGUCUGAGCCUAAGAUUCACAUCUCAACUUGUAUAGAUUCAUAGAAUUAUGGGAAAAUUGAAGUCGAGGUACCAAACCUUUCGUUUAUUAGCAGACUUUACCCAAACCUUUUAUUUGUGUCACCGGAGGUAUCAAACCUUUCAAAAAUGGACACCCGAAGUCCAAAUGGAUGGAAACCAUUAGUAAAUCCGUUAGUUGACAUAGAGUCAACAUUUUGAUCAAUUUUUGACUGCAUUAUAAAGGGUAAAAAUGUAACAUUAGGUUUUUAUAUUAAAGAAUUAAAAUAAUUAAAUUAAAAACCCAAAAAUAAAAUAAAAAGAAAAGAAUUUCAAAAACUUUUCUGCUAAUAAUACGCUUUGUGUCGUUACAGUCAAAAUUAUUGAUAUUGUCGACCAUAUUUGGGUCGUUAGGGUAGGUCGGAUUGUCUACCAUCAAAGGGGGUAGGUCAGAUGAGGAGGUUGGAGGUGCUAAAAUCCUAUUUGUUGUAUUUGCCUCACACUUAGUGAACUUACUGUAUUCACUACGAUAUAGAACUCUUGGCUCCUGUCCCGGAUGAGCGUGCCUAUUUUUCGAAGCCAGUAUGCAUUGCCAUCAGCAAGUUCUUUCUAAAGGAAGGGCUUCGAUUGCUUUUACAUCCAUUCUUUAGAACUGUUCUUAGGUUAUACAGACUGGCUCUCCCCCCCCCCCCACCCCAUUUCAUCCUUAACACUGGGCCUAACUAAUGCCUCUCCAUAUCUUUCAAACCAUUCUUCAACCUAGGUCUUUGACAAAAGGAGACUCUAAAGGUUGGUACUUUUUCUAUCCAUAGGGUCACAUUUCUCAUUUGUCAUAGGACUCCCCUUCUUCAUCAAAGGGUGAAAGGAGACGUGGUUCUGGGUAAGGCGAGAGUGGUAGGUGUGUAAGGGUAACACCAUUUCCCAUGUGAAAGUUCUUACCUCCUACUCGAAAGCUAGUGAGUGUUGUACCUUUUUAGUGAUUUGUUAAGAAGUUAGUUUAAUAUUGAUCUCGACCUCGUGUGUUUACCUUUUGUAGGAUCUAUCGAUCUUUGCGGAGCUGAGCUUAAGUUUAUAGGGGACAUCUACUAGCGUCCUACUUCUUCAAGGGAGUUUGAGAGGGUAAUCGUUUCCCACAUAGUUUAUCUAGGAGUUUUACUUGAUGGUUUGUAGAGGUACUUUUGCAUAUUAUUUGAGAUUUUCUUUUUGUUGGUUUAUACAGUUUUUGAUGUUCCUCACUUCUUUGUAGAAAACUUUGAAAAGAGGAGACAUCCCACUCCAAACAUAGGCACCAUCCCUGUAGCUAUCUCCACUGCUAGGAAAAAGGAUUAAAACCCUCAUCUGUUAUAGGGACCAGCUGAAGAGGGUCAACAGGGAGGCUGUUAGCCAAGAGGAUGAUGGAGGCCUCCCACUAAAGAAAAGGAAAAAGAUAAGGUCAAGGAGGUCUCCAAAAGGAAACAUAAAUAUUCUGCUAUCGGAGAGGAUGGGUACAUGGCUAGCCCAUCGCCCCGCUCAAAGGUCCCAGUAAGGGAAAAGUUGAUGGCGGCCUCAAUUGCUACAGCCAAGAGGGCUUAAAAGAGGUCAACUGUCGUGGAACACCCUAGGAAGGAUUCUUUAAAGAGGGCAAUGACAUCCAUUGGGUCCACUGCAUCAGAGAUAGGUCCUCACCCUCACCUCUCCAUUUCUCAAUGGAGUGACUAGCUAGCUCCGGCAGUUUUAUCGAUGCUUUCUCCAGAACUUUAAACUUUGACGUGCACAUUUCAUAAGUUUUGGACUGACCGUUGGUAGUCCUUCAUUGUGUCCAGUGAUGGGUAGACAUCUUCACCAAUAUGGUAAGCUAAACGAACAGGGCAUUUGGCAUAGCCAUAGAGGCGGAGAUCCUCUUUAAAAACCUUCAAAGUAAGAAUAAAGAACAAGCUAAUAAGACUUCCAAGGCCAAGGGGGCAACAAAUAAAGCUGUGGCUGAGGUGGAGGCUAUGAAGAAAUAGCAAUUUGGAUAGUCUAUAAAGCUUACCUCUACCUUAGAAGAAAUUGAAAACUUUAAAAAGGAAGUCCACUUUUGCCAAAGUGAAGUGGCUUCCAUGACGAGGUGGUGAAGACUUCUAAUGCUUACCAAAGGCUUGUUGCCGAGGCCCUGGAGGUGAUCAAUAAAGAGAAUGUUGCUCUAAAAGAGCAGGUAAGGAACUCUAAAGCGCUUGGCUCGAAGGAGGUGGAAACAGUAAGUAAGGGAGCUAAGUCUAUUGGUAGUGAGGUUAAAAAGCAUUCCGUUGACAACUUUUACAUAACAGAGGCAUACCAAAGUUUUGAGAAGUAUUGGCGAAAGUAUGCCCACAUCGAGGUGGUUUAGUUGGAUCGAAGCUAACUUUCAGACCUUCAAUACCUUUGACUUGAGGUUUGAAUACUUAGAGGGAAAAGAGCCUCAAACCCCACCAGAGGAAACUACAUGAUAAAAUUUGAAGACAAAGCUAAUGAAGAAGAUGAUGAAGUUGAAGAAGUCAUGGCUCUCGAUGCCAUAAUGCCUUUUGUACCUCCCCUCCUCUACCUAUGUAGAUUGGGUAGCUUGUAAUCAUUUUUUUUUAGGCUUGGAAGCCCACAUCUUACAAUAUUUUUGUUAAUUAAUGAAAGAUCCUCUUCAUUUAUUUUUUCGAGUUUAUUUACUGCAUUUUCAUGUAUGGACAUUUCAUUUUUGUACUUCCCCUAUUUUUUGUUUGCGAUUUGUACUUGUGCUAGUGUUCAUUUGCUUUUAUUCAUUUUUUUUAGCACGACGUCGAGCAAUUCGCCCAUGCUGAGUCUUCCUUAACAACUUUAGUUGUUAAAGGCAUGUGCUGUCCACUUCGUGAUUUAAGAGGUGGUCCAUUUUGGUGUCUAGCUUAUUGUUGAAGUACCCACACUUCUCUGCAUAAGGACAGUUUAUCCAUGCAGUCGUGUUUUUUCUUUAGCUUUGAAGACUUUAAUAAGAAAAAGCUUUCAUUUUCAACAAACCAUACAAUGUGUGUAUAAUUUUCAUUGAUAGUUCGUGGAUCUACGUUCCAUGGAUGAAGCUGUGUCUUUCCAUCUAUUCCUUCAAUUUCAUAGGUUUCUAGUUGAACCUCUUCCUUUAUAUGGUAAGGAUCUUCCCAGUUGGAACAAAGGAUUUCUAUUCCUAGCUUCUUAGUAGAUUGAAUACUGUUUUGACUUUUGAAUUGUAGUUCCUGGCCAUCUUUCUCUGAUAGAUUGCCAACUUCGCCUGAGAUUCAUUUCUCCUUUCUUCAAGGAAAUCCAAUUUGUACCUCCUCAACUCAUCAUUUGAUAUUUCAUUAAAAUAUAUGUGAUGAGGAGAUGAUAGACCCAUUUAGACUAGGCUCAUAGCCUAGGCACCAUAAGUUAUAAAGAAGUGAGCUUGCCUUGUGACUGUUCGGCUAUUGGUUUGGAUAGCCCAUAAGACUUGAGGUAGCUCAUCAGCCAAAGCCCCUUUAGAAGCAUCCAAAUUUCUCUUCAAAGUAUAUUUGAUAGUCUUAUUAACAGCUUCACCUAUCCGUUAGCCUGUGGGUAAUGUGGAAAAGAAAAGAGCUUCUUGAUUCUCAACUCCUCACAUAAGUUUCUGACCUUCUUGUUAUCGAACUGUUGCCUAUUAUCUGAAACAAUUGAAUGGAGAAUACUGAGUCAGCAUAUGAUGUUUUCCCACAAAAUUUUUGAAGUGUUUGCUUCAGUUAUUUUGGUCAUUGGUUUUGCCUUAACCUAUUUCAUGAAGUAAUCAAUAGCGACAAUUGUGAAAUUAGCACUGUCUCUCCCUUUCGUUAGAGGUCCAACAAGAUCAAUCCCCCACUUAGCAAAUGGUGACAAACUAGAAACAAUAGUGAGCCCUUGAGAAGGUUGUCUCUGUACCAUCGCAAAUCGUUAACACUUGUCGCACCUUCUUGCAGAUUAAUAGGUAUCCUUUUCAGGGUAGGCCAAUAACAUUCUUGCCUUAAUACUUUUUCUAGGGACCAUCCCCCAGUGUGAUUGCCACACACGCCUUUGUGUAUCUCUUGGAGUACCUAGGUGACUUUCUCACCUCUAUACAUUGGAACAGAGGCAAAGAAAAGCCUCAUUUGUAUAGUGCAAUGUCUUAGAAGACAAAAUGCGGGGCUCGUCUUCUGAGCUUCCUCUUUGUCAGAUUAUAGAGUUUGAUCCUUUAGAAAGGCUAUAAUUGACUUCAUUCAUGACAGGGUAUCUUCUACCCACAUCACCUCUUUAUCUUUGAAAGUAGAUGGCCUUGGCAGGUGUUCUAUAAGAACCACUACGAGCAUUUCAGAAUCCUUAUUUCUUGCUAACUUUAAGAGGGCAUCGACAUGAGAAUUUUCAGAAUGUGGGAUCUGUGUUAAAUUCAUAUUUCUCAAAUGUUGGGACGAACUCCAUGACUAAUUUCAAAUAGACAGCCAUGCUCUUAUCUUUAAUUGAAAAACUACCAUAAACCUGGCUAACCACCAAUUGGGAAUCGCUGUUGAUGACUAGCCUUUUCACUUGCAUCUCUUUGGCUAAUCUGAAGUCUACAAAGAGGGCUUCAUAUUCUGCUACAUUAUUGGUGGCCUUGAAGUUGAACCUCAUAGCAUAGUUGAGCUUAUGUCCUUCCAGACUGACAAGGACCAUCCCUGCUUCGAAUCAAAUGUCUUCUGAGGAGCCAUCAACAAAUAGGCUCCCUACAAGGGAUUCGGCUGGUUCCAUAUCGUCUUCCAUUUCUGGAUGAGGUGAAUUUUACCCUGAAGUUUGCUAACGCCUGUCCCUUAACAGUGGUUUUUAUUUUGAAGACAAUAUCAAACUCACUAAUCUCCACAGUCUAUUUGAGUAAUCUUUUCAAAGCAUCUGGCUUUUGUAGCACUUGCUUGAGAGGUAGGUAGUUAAUAUUUGUAUGGCGUGUACCUGAAAAUAUCGUCUUAACUUCUUGAAUCAGUUACAAGAGUUGAGCCUUUUUUUCCAUGUCGGGUAGUGAGUCUCUACUACGAGCAGUACUUUAGUUACAUAAUACACAGGUAGUUGAUGACCCUCUUCCUCCCUACAAGCAUUGAACCGAUAGCCUUGAUGAUCACCGUGAGACAUAAUAGCAGAUGCUAUCUAAAUUUAGGUUUGGAGAGGAGGAAAGCUUGUCCUAAGUGCUUGUAAGGCUUCUUCAUAUUCCUCCAUCCACUGGAAUCUAUUUUUUCCUUUCAAAACCUUAAAGGACAGAAGACACUUAUUAGUUGCUUUCUAGAUGAAGCAGCUCAGAGCUGCUACACAGUUGUGAGACUUUGUACUUUUUUAGGUUUUAGUGGUGAUCCCGUUUUCAAUCAAAGCUUUAAUCUUCUUCGAGUUAGCCUCGAUGCCUCUUUGAUUUACCAUGUAAACUAAAAACUUUCUUGAGGUAACUCCAAAGCACAUUUGAGAGGAUUCAACCGUAUUCUAUACCUUUGAAGUACUUGGAAGACAUCUUCGAAGUGCUUGACAUGAUCCUCUAUUCUCAGACUUUUUACCAGCAUAUUGUUAACAUAUACCUCCAUAGUCUUUCCAAUGACAUCGACAAGCAUCUUAUUGGUAUCCCCUGCAUUGUUUAACCCAAAUUCAUUAUUCUGUAGUAAUAUAGACCUCGGUCCAUGAUGAAGGAUGUAUGCUCCUUGUCUACUGGUGCAUUGAAAUAUGAGGCAUACAUAAAGUUUAGUAGCUCAUGCAUAGUAGUGGAGUCGACUAGCUAGUCUAUUCAUGGAAAUCGAAAGAUAUCUUUAGGACAAGCUUAGUUUAGGUUGGAGAAAUCUAUGCACACCCUCCAUUUCUCGUUGUGCUUCUUUAUGAGUACGAGGUUCGAUACCCAAUUCGGGUAAGUCAAUUCUUGAAUAAAGCAAUUGUCAAUCAACUUUUUUACCUUGUCUUUUAAGGCCUCAUAUCUUUCUAGGUUAAGAGUUGUUCUUUUUUGCCGAUGAGGGUUAGGAGUUGGAUCGAUCUUCAAAUGGUGCCAACUGACCCUUGGAUCGAUACCAACCAUGUCCUCAUGCUUCCAUGUGAAGACAUCCAAGUUGUUAUACAAGAAGCUUUUUAGCUUCUCAUUUUCUGUUGCUGGCAGGUUCUUUUUGACCUGUAAGGACUUGGAAGUAUCCUGAGAGUCUACUAUAAGGCUCUCCAGUUCCUCGAUCGGAGCUAUUUGUAGUUUGCAAUCAAUUAUGCUGGGAUCCAGUUCAUCAAGAUUAGCCGCUUCUUCAGCAGCUUUCCCUUCUUCAAGCUUUAAUUGUACGUCAAAUACAGUCUCUUCUUCAGAUGUAUCUAUUAAUUUAAUAUCAUUCUUUUAUUCAAGUUUUUGCCCUUAUUCAUGGUCGUCGUUUUCAUCAAUGUCCAUUAAAAUGACAUUAACAUCCCUAGGUUCAACUCUUCUAAUGGAGUUGGAAUAUCACUCCCUAGCACUUCGUUGGUCACCCUUAGGGCGAUACCAUUUUCUAUUGGGAACGUCAUGUAUAGAUAGUAAAUGGAAGUGACAGCCCAUAGUUACUUCAAAGUGGGCCUCAUCAAGUUUUUCGUGAUAAGCGGAGCGGUGGUCCACCACCACAAGCUCCAUGAAAUGGUGAGAUAUUAGAGGUAUAAUUCCCAUAUCUAUUGCUAGAAUAUUUUUGCUUGUGGGAUGAUGCUGUCUCCAGUAAAUCCAUAUAAGGGAGAGUUCAUCAGGGUUAACUCAUGGUCAACUUCCAUCUUAUUGAAUAUGGGUCCAAGUAUGAUGUUAUUAAGCUUCCGUUGUCCAUUAGCAUUCUUUUAAGACCAUUUUAGGCCACCAUAGCUCUUGCAACCAAAGCGUCAAAGUGCAGGUAAUGGACACCCAUGGCAUCAUCUUGAGUAAAUAGGAUGUGUUGAACUUCUCUUUCAGUAGAAGGUCGGCUACUGCUGUUUAUGAAGCUCGUCAUUGGGGAUUUUUAACUUCCCUGGCAUAAUUUCUUUGGGCAUUUCUAGACUCUUCUCCGAAAUAGGGACCUCUGAAAAUGGUAUCGAUUUCUCAAAUGGGCUCACGUCCAGUGUUUUUGAGGGGCUCAUUUUUUGCCUUCGACCUUCUACAGGCCUUUUCCUAUCAUUGUCUCACCUUUGCUGGAUGUCGUUCCUAUUUUGGUGCUUGCUCAUCAUUCCUAGGUUGCCGACCUUGCCUAUGAGUUACGCCCCUUUGUGAGCAAUUGUUUCUUCUCUGAUUGUUUAGGUCCUUAGCGAUUUCUUUACAUCCAGCAGUGUCGUAGCCGUAGGAAUGGUGAUACGUACAAUAGAGGGUUGUUUCAUCACUAUCUCUAGGUUCAGAGCCUUCUCCCUUGCCUUUUCCAAUUUGGAAGAACCGCUGGUAGGGCUCUUUGGUGUGUUUCCACAUCAAGGUUCAGUUAUUCGUAUGCUAGAAUUGGUAAUGCAUUUAAUGUUGUUGCAGCCAAAGCUUGUCUUGGGUUGAGGGGAGCUGACUGUCUGACUUGGUAGUCCAUCAAGUUAUAGGUGGGACCUCUUCCCUUUACAUUUGUGAAGGUGGAAGUCCUUAAUUUGCCCUAUUUCAGUAAUCUCUCAAUUCUCCAUUGAUGGUCUAGCGCCUUAUUAUUUCCAGUAAGGCAUUGUAGUUGGUAAAGUAGAGGGAGUUCAUAUCCAAUCCUAUCCUUAGUGCUGUUAACACUACCCUAUCUGUGACUUGCACGCAGUAGGUCACUUCGUUAGUGAAACGAGAUAAGAAAAUUUUCAAUGAUUUCCCUUAUUGUUGCCUCAUGUCUUAAAGGCUCUAUAUAGGUCCUUCGCCUUCUUUACUUAUGGCGAAGCAUUUGAAGAAACCCUUCUUAAAGUCUAGCCAACUCCAGAUGCUUCCUUUCGAAGGCCUGUGUACCAUACUUUAGCCGCACCACUGAAAGUUAAGUGGAAGGUUCUACACAUUAUUGCUGGGUGGCUCUUCUUAGGCUGAUAUGAGUUUUGAAGCUAUUGAGGUGCUUUGCAGGAUUCUACUUGAUUUCUUGCCUGUUCUGCUCUCAUCUCAUGCCUAUUUCUAGGUGGAGGAUUGAUGUUACCAUAAAUAGGCUCAGCUUGCCUUUCAAACCGAGGCUCCCGUUCUACCUAUUUUUAGGUGGAGGUUGAACCUGCCUAUUCCUAGGCAGUCUUGGGGUCAACAUAUCAAAGACAUUUACUAACCUUCUAGACGCGUCCUUCGGGUCGUAGUUUGAAGGAACAUUGAAAGGGACUUCGUGAACUUGAUCAUUGGCAUAGUUGGUAGACAUAUCAACCCCCACUUCCAUUUCUUGAGGGAGCUCCUCUCUGGGAUAUUGUGAUACCCUACCAUUUGGGUUUUGACCUCGUUCUCGUCACUAUAGUGAUUUCUUUGGAAAGACGCAUUUCCCUGAGCUACGUAUGGAGGAAUUGGAUACCAUUCUUGGGUUUGUACGUUACUCAACAGCUCCUGCGUAGCGAGGCUCUAUUGAGUAAUGUUUCUCAUAUUUCCGAUCAUGACGACCACUUUCUGGGUGAGUUUAGCAGCUAUCCUAGACAAUUCCAUUGGUUCAUCUCGCCUAUGUUAUUGGUGAAAUCUUUGGCGAGAUACUGGGGCAGUGUAAGAGGUUUCUUUUCUUCAGGAUAUUUCCUGGCUCUCCGAGGUGCUGAUUCCUCAUUGGUAAUACUCAUGAUAGUGUUUCCCGUUGUUUCAAAGCUAACCAAUUUUUCAAGGGAUGUAAAUGUUAAGUGAGAGUUCUUCUUGGUGAUUAUUUCUCUAAGAAUGCCUCAUUUUCUUCAGAGGCAAGAAAUCUCCUCGCACAAAAAUUGCUGACUUUUCUCUAGAGUACAUUCGUGGUUAACUGUAAGCUUCCAUAGACGACGCCAAUCUGUUGACUCUAUUUUCUAUAAUGGCCACGUGGACAACAGAUGUUGAGCUCAUUUGCGUCCAUGUGAGCAAAUUUCAGCAUGUUUGGAUAGGAUAUUCGGUCGGAGAGCUAGCGGCGAUAGACGUGGGAGAUACUCUACGACAGGAGACCAAAACAUUCGGGCACAGACCACACGAUCAAUGACGAUAGUUAAACAAAGAUCGAGUAUAGAUAACACCAAAGUACGAUGAAUCCAAACUUGAGCUAGCUAAUAUCAAAUGAGCAAAAAAGGAAUGUUAAGUGUAAUAUUAAGAAUAUAAAGUUUGUAUAUAUGUUUGCCAAUCCUUUACAAUGUUACAAAAGUUGCUAUUUAUAGAGUUCAAGCCUACGUGGUCACCAUUGGAUUAGAUCCACGUGGCUCCAUCUAAUUAACCGAAGUCUCACAUCACUCUAUCAUAUAUUAAUUACAUUGAUAAGAGGUCAGCAGUCCUACACUCCUAGGCUAACAUAUUUGACACUCAUUAGUACAAAUGUUACAUUAAUCAUUCCUAAAAAUACUCAUCAAACCUGCUUCAAAGGCAGUGAGGACUUCAAAUUUAAGAUGGAGAGCUUCGGAUGUAAAGAGGUUCGGCUUUAGGAAAAAUCACCUCGACAAAAGAACUCUGGGUGGAAAAAGUGCUUCAGCUAUAGAGCAACUCUUCCCCUUUUUUUUUUUUUUUUUUUUUUUUUUUUUUUUUCCCCGGUUUCUGUAUGUAGUGCUUCCAUGUGGCUUUUCAUUGGGAGCUUUAUAUAUUAAGAGUAACAGGUCUUAUUCAUUUAUUAUUAUUUUGAGCAGAUAUAUACUUAAUUUAGGUUAAAUUUGGUUAAUUGUAGGUAAAACCCGAUUUGGACAAGUUUGGACGAAAUAGGAUUGAAGCGGUACAAAAUUGAGGAAUUGUGGAUCAGAAUAAUCAAGUUUUGAAGAUAAGGACCUAUCGUGUGAAUAAAGAGGACCUGGGCGUACAAUAACUUAAUGCAGAGGACCAAAGUGCACUCAAUUAUCAAAAAUUUCAGCUUUUGUUGGAUUUCUAUUUCAACUCAACAAUGAAUAUGCUUUAGGAUUCAUUUUGAGAGUUAUUCUAGAUUUCUAUAAAUAGUUUUCAUUAUUCCUUUUUAUGGGACAUACAAUUUUAAAGUCAGAAAAAUAAAAAAAUCAUCAAAAUCCUGGAACAAAAAGCAAGGGUUUGAAAACUUUUGAGAUUGAAGAAG